UACGAAGGGUUCGGAUAUGUUGUGGAUUCCUGUCCUCUAAGUAAAGAAAAUACAACUGAGGCAGCUACGAGAUUGAACUGUAGUGUUGAUGAACAUGGACGUAGUCAGUAUGUGUGUGUUCCCAAUGAAAACCUAACAGCCAUUGUAGAAUUCUGUUAUACCAAGUCGAUUGUUGGACUCUAUCAGGAUGGUCAUUGUUUGAAAACAAUUAGAGAUGGAUUUUUGGACCAGAUCAGCUGUAAAAACUUUACAGAAGGAUGUCCAGCAGAACAUUAUAGAAGUACAGACCUGUACAAAUAUCCAGCUUGCAGCCAUCUUAACACAGAGGACCGAUGUUUUCUUGCAGAUCCCUCUUGCAAUUC
Saccostrea echinata is the source of this 362-nucleotide long non-coding RNA. RefSeq lists it as uncharacterized. The record is from RefSeq and is a predicted model, not a curated record. Lineage: Eukaryota; Metazoa; Mollusca; Bivalvia; Ostreida; Ostreidae. The transcript is spliced from 3 exons.